UGACACGCUUCUUACCAAGAUGGCGGGUAAUCUCCGUUCGGAGUUUGAUGUGAUCGUAAUAGGGAUGGAUAUAAAACAACCAAAUAUCAGUUUGGUCAGAGAAUAAUCUCUAAGCAUUUCAUGGUGGAGGACAGUUACUUUUCAGAGAACACAUGCUCAAGUGUACAAUACGGGUAAGGCA
This 181-nucleotide long non-coding RNA is filed under the name Dasypus novemcinctus (nine-banded armadillo). RNAcentral's name for it is "lncRNA (ENSDNOG00000050824.1)". Lineage: Eukaryota; Metazoa; Chordata; Mammalia; Cingulata; Dasypodidae. The record is from RNAcentral.